GACGAACGCUGGCGGCGUGCUUAACACAUGCAAGUCGAACGGAAAGGCCCUGCUUUUGUGGGGUGCUCGAGUGGCGAACGGGUGAGUAACACGUGAGUAACCUGCCCUUGACUUUGGGAUAACUUCAGGAAACUGGGGCUAAUACCGGAUACGAGCUCCUGCUGCAUGGUGGGGGUUGGAAAGUUUCGGCGGUUGGGGAUGGACUCGCGGCUUAUCAGCUUGUUGGUGGGGUAGUGUCUUACCAAGGCUUUGACGGGUAGCCGGCCUGAGAGGGUGACCGGCCACAUUGGGACUGAGCUACGGCACAGCCUCCUACGGGAGGCAGCAGUGGGGAAUAUUGCACAAUGGGCGGAAGCAUGAUGCAGCAACGCCGCGUGCGGGAUGACGGCCUUCGGGUUGUAAACCGCUUUCGCCUGUGACGAAGCGUGAGUGACGGUAAUGGGUAAAGAAGCACCGGCUAACUACGUG
Molecule: ribosomal RNA, 468 nt
Filed under: uncultured bacterium
Lineage: Bacteria
Description: partial 16S ribosomal RNA
Rfam family: Bacterial small subunit ribosomal RNA
Source: RNAcentral